GUGCUCCCUUCAGCAGCACAUAUACUAAAAUUGGAAUGUUACAGAAAAGAUUUGCAUGGCCUUGCACAAGGAUGGCAUGCAAAUUCAUGAAGCAUUCCAUGUGUUU
This is a small nuclear RNA of Marmota marmota marmota (Alpine marmot), 106 nucleotides long. The record is from Ensembl. NCBI's taxonomy places the organism in Eukaryota, Metazoa, Chordata, Mammalia, Rodentia, Sciuridae.